This 439-nucleotide ribosomal RNA is filed under the name uncultured bacterium. RNAcentral describes it as "bacterial SSU rRNA". It matches the Rfam family "Bacterial small subunit ribosomal RNA", at positions 959 to 1397 of the family's 1533-position model. The record is from RNAcentral.
ACGCGUGGAACCUUACCAGGUCUUGACAUCCCGCUGACCGUCCUGGAGACAGGAUUUUCCCUUCGGGGACAGCGGUGACAGGUGGUGCAUGGUUGUCGUCAGCUCGUGUCGUGAGAUGUUGGGUUAAGUCCCGCAACGAGCGCAACCCUUGAUCUUAGUUGCCAGCAUUCAGUUGGGCACUCUAAGGUGACUGCCGGUGACAAACCGGAGGAAGGUGGGGAUGACGUCAAAUCAUCAUGCCCCUUAUGACCUGGGCUACACACGUGCUACAAUGGAUGGUACAAAGGGCAGCAAAACCGCGAGGUCGAGCAAAUCCCAUAAAACCAUUCUCAGUUCGGAUUGUAGGCUGCAACUCGCCUACAUGAAGCUGGAAUCGCUAGUAAUCGCGGAUCAGCAUGCCGCGGUGAAUACGUUCCCGGGCCUUGCACACACCGCCCGU